RNAcentral lists this transfer RNA (68 nucleotides) under Marmota marmota marmota (Alpine marmot). It matches the Rfam family "tRNA". From Rfam's summary of the family: Transfer RNA (tRNA) molecules are approximately 80 nucleotides in length. Their secondary structure includes four short double-helical elements and three loops (D, anti-codon, and T loops). RNAcentral also lists the same sequence under 1 other name. Lineage: Eukaryota; Metazoa; Chordata; Mammalia; Rodentia; Sciuridae. The record is from Rfam by way of RNAcentral.
GUUGUGGCUCAGUGGUAGAGCACUUGCCUAGCAUGUGUGAGGCCCUGGGUUCAAUCCUCAGCACAACA